Long non-coding RNA from Phyllostomus hastatus (greater spear-nosed bat), 984 nucleotides. RefSeq lists it as uncharacterized. Lineage: Eukaryota; Metazoa; Chordata; Mammalia; Chiroptera; Phyllostomidae. The transcript has 5 exons. The record is from RefSeq and is a predicted model, not a curated record.
AGGGAAGGCUAAGGAUACAUCGGUUCUGGGGAGUUGAGAAUAUGCCUUCCCCCACUCCAGUCACCUCAUUUAAAAAAUAAAACAUCUUUUAUUUUAAAGUCUUACCCUGGAAGUUUGGUUGGCAAAGCACUCCCUGUUUCCUCAACUUGGGCCUUACAAGGAGUUUCUCUUUGUGGCUGAUGGCCAUGCCAGUUUCUCCUCUGGACCUGCAGCAGGUGUGUCCCCCUGCCUUACAGGGAUGCUCACAGAAUGCACCAGAACUCCGGAUAAACGCAGUUCCCGUGAGCAGCAGCAGUUACUGGGUAUCUCAGAGUGGGCUGUCUGGUUUUGAGUGCCUCUCUAGCACCUAAUAACUGGGUGAUCUUGGGCAAGUCACUUCAGAACUUUCAUAGAUUCUUGGACUCUUGCACACUGCCUGGACUGUCAAUUAAGCCAAAGCAAGUAUUUUCCUUGCCUGCUUUUAAGCUUAUUGCUUAGGUUUGGAGUGAAUCUGCGUUCUGAGCUUUGCAGCUCACAGCAGCUCCUCUUCAUGGCCUGGAGUGCACCCCAUUUGUGGGUGGUUUAUAUACUUAUCACUUUCUUUCUGGGAGCCGCUGAUGGAUGCCAUCCGGUCAAGAGGCUUUGCUCCUCUGUUCAAGACUUCCUAUGGGGUGGAACCUGGAUGUGCUGGUAACUCCAUUAAACCAAGCAGAUGAGCACCACCCAGGAGAAUAGAGGAGCAACCACAGAGGGAGAAUCUGCGCCUCUUCUUCACUGUGUGCUACUGGACAUAGUAGCCUGGAAUGUGCAACUCCAGAGUGUUGUAUAAAAGAAAGAAAUUCAAUUUUUUGAGCCACUGUAUUUUGGGAUCUGUUUAAUAGAAGAGUGGAGGUUCUUAUCCUGAAUAAUACAGAACAUUCCUGAAUUGGGAAGUAGAGCACUGGUUUCAAGUCAAUAUCAAGUCAGUAUUCCUUCAUUCUUUCCUACUUUUCUUCCUUUCACACA